GUGCUUGCUUUGGCAGUACAUAUACUAAAAUUGGAACGAUACAGAGAAGAUUAGCAUGACCCC
Molecule: small nuclear RNA, 63 nt
Filed under: Canis lupus dingo (dingo)
Lineage: Eukaryota; Metazoa; Chordata; Mammalia; Carnivora; Canidae
Source: RNAcentral